GGCUUUGUAGUGAAAUUCACGACGAAUUGCAAACUCGUAGAUGUAUUUUAAACUGUACCUAAGCUU
RNAcentral lists this transfer RNA (66 nucleotides) under Osteolaemus tetraspis (dwarf crocodile). Its description in RNAcentral is "tRNA-Cys". The record is from RNAcentral. Lineage: Eukaryota; Metazoa; Chordata; Crocodylia; Crocodylidae.